AGCGAACGCUGGCGGCAGGCUUAACACAUGCAAGUCGAGCGGGCAUCGUCGGAUUUCAGCGGCAGACGGGUGAGUAACACGUGGGAACGUAUCCUUCGGUGCGUGACAACGCGGGGAAACUGGAGCUAAUACCGGAUACUCCCGCAUGGGGAAAGGUUUAGUGCGGAAGGAGCGGGCGGCGUCUGAUUAGCCAGUUGGUGGUGUAACGGCCUACCAAGGGGACGAGCAGUAGAUGGUCUGAGAGGAUGAUCAGCCACACUGGGAGUGAGACACGGCCCCGAAUCCUAGGGGAGGCAGCAGUGGGGAAUAUUGGCCAGCGGGCGCAAGGCUGAUGCAGCCAUGACGGGUGAGUGAUUAAGGCCUUAGGGUUGGAAAGCUAUUUUGUACGGGACGAUAAUGACGGUACCGGAAGAAUAAGCACCGGCUAACUUCGUG
RNAcentral lists this ribosomal RNA (435 nucleotides) under uncultured bacterium. RNAcentral describes it as "partial 16S ribosomal RNA". It matches the Rfam family "Bacterial small subunit ribosomal RNA", at positions 30 to 507 of the family's 1533-position model. The record is from RNAcentral.